GGUCAAGUGAAGAAGCGCAUACGGUGGAUGCCUUGGCAGUCAGAGGCGAUGAAAGACGUGGUAGCCUGCGAAAAGCUUCGGGGAGUCGGCAAACAGACUGUGAUCCGGAGAUGUCUGAAUGGGGGAACCCAGCCAUCAUAAGAUGGUUAUCUUACACUGAAUACAUAGGUGUAAGAGGCGAACCAGGGGAACUGAAACAUCUAAGUACCCUGAGGAAAAGAAAUCAACCGAGAUUCCCUUAGUAGUGGCGAGCGAACGGGGACCAGCCCUUAAGUUGUAUUGAGAUUAGCGGAACGCUCUGGAAAGGGCGGCCAUAGUGGGUGAUAGCCCUGUACGCGAAAAUCCCUUUGCAAUGAAAUCGAGUAGGACGGGGCACGAGAAACCUUGUCUGAAUAUGGGGGGACCAUCCUCCAAGGCUAAAUACUACUGACUGACCGAUAGUGAACCAGUACCGUGAGGGAAAGGCGAAAAGAACCGCGGAGAGCGGAGUGAAAUAGAUCCUGAAACCGUAUGCGUACAAGCAGUGGGAGCCCACGUUGUUGGGUGACUGCGUACCUUUUGUAUAAUGGGUCAGCGACUUAUUUUCAGUGGCGAGCUUAACCGAAUAGGGGAGGCGUAGCGAAAGCGAGUCUUAAUAGGGCGUCUAGUCGCUGGGAAUAGACCCGAAACCGGGCGAUCUAUCCAUGGGCAGGUUGAAGGUUGGGUAACACUAACUGGAGGACCGAACCGACUACCGUUGAAAAGUUAGCGGAUGACCUGUGGAUCGGAGUGAAAGGCUAAUCAAGCUCGGAGAUAGCUGGUUCUCCUCGAAAGCUAUUUAGGUAGCGCCUCAUGUAUCACUGUAGGGGGUAGAGCACUGUUUCGGCUAGGGGGUCAUCCCGACUUACCAAACCGAUGCAAACUCCGAAUACCUACAAGUGCCGAGCAUGGGAGACACACGGCGGGUGCUAACGUCCGUCGUGAAAAGGGAAACAACCCAGACCGUCAGCUAAGGUCCCAAAGUCAUGGUUAAGUGGGAAACGAUGUGGGAAGGCUUAGACAGCUAGGAGGUUGGCUUAGAAGCAGCCACCCUUUAAAGAAAGCGUAAUAGCUCACUAGUCGAGUCGGCCUGCGCGGAAGAUGUAACGGGGCUCAAACCAUGCACCGAAGCUACGGGUAUCACCUUUGGUGAUGCGGUAGAGGAGCGUUCUGUAAGCCUGUGAAGGUGAGUUGAGAAGCUUGCUGGAGGUAUCAGAAGUGCGAAUGCUGACAUGAGUAACGACAAUGGGUGUGAAAAACACCCACGCCGAAAGACCAAGGUUUCCUGCGCAACGUUAAUCGACGCAGGGUUAGUCGGUCCCUAAGGCGAGGCUGAAAAGCGUAGUCGAUGGAAAACAGGUUAAUAUUCCUGUACUUCUGGUUAUUGCGAUGGAGGGACGGAGAAGGCUAGGCCAGCCUGGCGUUGGUAGUCCAGGUUUAAGGUGGUAGGCUGAGAUCUUAGGUAAAUCCGGGAUCUUAAGGCCGAGAGCUGAUGACGAGUGUUCUUUUAGAACAUGAAGUGGUUGAUGCCAUGCUUCCAAGAAAAGCUUCUAAGCUUCAGGUAACCAGGAACCGUACCCCAAACCGACACAGGUGGUUGGGUAGAGAAUACCAAGGCGCUUGAGAGAACUCGGGUGAAGGAACUAGGCAAAAUGGCACCGUAACUUCGGGAGAAGGUGCGCCGGUGAGGGUGAAGCAUUUACUGCGUAAGCCCACGCCGGUCGAAGAUACCAGGCCGCUGCGACUGUUUAUUAAAAACACAGCACUCUGCAAACACGAAAGUGGACGUAUAGGGUGUGACGCCUGCCCGGUGCCGGAAGGUUAAUUGAUGGGGUUAGCGCAAGCGAAGCUCUUGAUCGAAGCCCCGGUAAACGGCGGCCGUAACUAUAACGGUCCUAAGGUAGCGAAAUUCCUUGUCGGGUAAGUUCCGACCUGCACGAAUGGCGUAACGAUGGCGGCGCUGUCUCCACCCGAGACUCAGUGAAAUUGAAAUCGCUGUGAAGAUGCAGUGUAUCCGCGGCUAGACGGAAAGACCCCGUGAACCUUUACUAUAGCUUUGCACUGGACUUUGAAUUUGCUUGUGUAGGAUAGGUGGGAGGCUUUGAAGCGUGGACGCCAGUCUGCGUGGAGCCAACCUUGAAAUACCACCCUGGCAACUUUGAGGUUCUAACUCAGGUCCGUUAUCCGGAUCGAGGACAGUGUAUGGUGGGUAGUUUGACUGGGGCGGUCUCCUCCUAAAGAGUAACGGAGGAGUACGAAGGUGCGCUCAGACCGGUCGGAAAUCGGUCGUAGAGUAUAAAGGCAAAAGCGCGCUUGACUGCGAGACAGACACGUCGAGCAGGUACGAAAGUAGGUCUUAGUGAUCCGGUGGUUCUGUAUGGAAGGGCCAUCGCUCAACGGAUAAAAGGUACUCCGGGGAUAACAGGCUGAUACCGCCCAAGAGUUCAUAUCGACGGCGGUGUUUGGCACCUCGAUGUCGGCUCAUCACAUCCUGGGGCUGAAGCCGGUCCCAAGGGUAUGGCUGUUCGCCAUUUAAAGUGGUACGCGAGCUGGGUUUAGAACGUCGUGAGACAGUUCGGUCCCUAUCUGCCGUGGACGUUUGAGAUUUGAGAGGGGCUGCUCCUAGUACGAGAGGACCGGAGUGGACGAACCUCUGGUGUUCCGGUUGUCACGCCAGUGGCAUUGCCGGGUAGCUAUGUUCGGAAAAGAUAACCGCUGAAAGCAUCUAAGCGGGAAACUUGCCUCAAGAUGAGAUCUCACUGGAACCUUGAGUUCCCUGAAGGGCCGUCGAAGACUACGACGUUGAUAGGUUGGGUGUGUAAGCGCUGUGAGGCGUUGAGCUAACCAAUACUAAUUGCCCGUGAGGCUUGACCAU
This 2893-nucleotide ribosomal RNA is filed under the name Pseudomonas syringae. RNAcentral's name for it is "23S ribosomal RNA". It matches the Rfam family "Bacterial large subunit ribosomal RNA". The record is from RNAcentral. Lineage: Bacteria; Pseudomonadati; Pseudomonadota; Gammaproteobacteria; Pseudomonadales; Pseudomonadaceae.